UACGGAGGGGGUUAGCGUUGUUCGGAAUUACUGGGCGUAAAGCGCGCGUAGGCGGACUAUUAAGUCAGAGGUGAAAUCCCGGGGCUCAACCCCGGAACUGCCUUUGAUACUGGUAGUCUUGAGUUCGAGAGAGGUAAGUGGAAUUCCGAGUGUAGAGGUGAAAUUCGUAGAUAUUCGGAGGAACACCAGUGGCGAAGGCGGCUUAUCGUGCUCGAUACUGACUCGUGAGGUGACGAAAGGUGUGGGGAGCAAAACAGGAUUCGAGACUACCCCGGUAGUCC
RNAcentral lists this ribosomal RNA (281 nucleotides) under uncultured bacterium. RNAcentral's name for it is "partial 16S ribosomal RNA". It matches the Rfam family "Bacterial small subunit ribosomal RNA", at positions 524 to 796 of the family's 1533-position model. The record is from RNAcentral.